RNAcentral lists this transfer RNA (87 nucleotides) under Bacteriovoracales bacterium. Its description in RNAcentral is "tRNA-Leu". It matches the Rfam family "tRNA". Rfam says of the family: Transfer RNA (tRNA) molecules are approximately 80 nucleotides in length. Their secondary structure includes four short double-helical elements and three loops (D, anti-codon, and T loops). Lineage: Bacteria; Pseudomonadati; Bdellovibrionota; Bacteriovoracia; Bacteriovoracales. The record is from RNAcentral.
GCCUCUGUGGCGGAAUUGGUAGACGCAGUGGAUUCAAAAUCCACCGCUCGCAAGGGCAUGGGGGUUCAAGUCCCUCCGGAGGCACCA